CCGUACGGGAGGCAGCAGUGGGGAAUAUUGGACAAUGGGCGAAAGCCUGAUCCAGCAAUGCCGCGUGAGUGAUGAAGGCCUUAGGGUUGUAAAGCUCUUUUACCCGGGAUGAUAAUGACAGUACCGGGAGAAUAAGCUCCGGCUAACUCCGUGCCAGCAGCCGCGGUAAUACGGAGGGAGCUAGCGUUAUUCGGAAUUACUGGGCGUAAAGCGCACGUAGGCGGCUUUGUAAGUAAGAGGUGAAAGCCUGGUGCUCAACACCAGAACUGCCUUUUAGACUGCAUCGCUUGAAUCCAGGAGAGGUGAGUGGAAUUCCGAGUGUAGAGGUGAAAUUCGUAGAUAUUCGGAAGAACACCAGUGGCGAAGGCGGCUCACUGGACUGGUAUUGACGCUGAGGUGCGAAAGCGUGGGGAGCAAACAGGAUUAGAUACCCCUGGUAGUCCAGCCGUAAACGAUGAUAAACUAGCUGUCGGGGCUCUUAGAGCUUCGGUGGCGCAGCUAAACGCAUUAAGUUAUCCGCCUGGGGAGUACGGCCGCAAGGUUUAAAACUUAAAGGAAUUGACGGNUGAGAGNGCGAGCGACACGAGGAGAG
Molecule: ribosomal RNA, 592 nt
Filed under: uncultured bacterium
Lineage: Bacteria
Description: bacterial SSU rRNA
Rfam family: Bacterial small subunit ribosomal RNA
Source: RNAcentral